RNAcentral lists this long non-coding RNA (19576 nucleotides) under Citrus sinensis (sweet orange). RNAcentral's name for it is "long non-coding RNA (CSIN_LNC001534)". The record is from RNAcentral. Lineage: Eukaryota; Viridiplantae; Streptophyta; Magnoliopsida; Sapindales; Rutaceae.
UUUUUUUUUUUUUUUGCCAAAUGCAUAUCAACCAACCAGCGGACAUCUCUAGCAAUUUCCAACUUUGAAGCUGAUGGUGCAGAAACUUGAUAUUAACCGACAAAUACCCCUUUCCAUUUUCUUCAUGUCUUUAUCUACUUAAAACACUUCUCGGGGGAGACGCGCAAAUGGCUGGUAUUAACUGAGCAACUUCUUUGUACAUUUGUUCCAAUAAGACUUCUUUGUUAGGGAAGGCUAUCUUCAAUGCAAGUGCAUACGAGCAUCAAACAUGGUACAAAAUCAAAGAUAACACUUUUCCAAAAUAGCGUAUGUGAUACGAGGAAGAGAAUGUACAAACUAAAUAUUUCCCUUAUCUUUCUUUAUAUAUGAGCGACAGCGUGCUUCAAACAAGCUGAAGAAAAGAUAACUACAAUAAAAAUGUUCUCGUAAUCAAGUUCCUGUGAUUGAUACUAACAUCCAAUUGCCUCUUCAGUUCUACCGUUCAUGAGAAUGGGAUAUUUGAUGGCCCACAAACAGGAUACCCAGCCAUUCUCUUAAUAGUCAUCAAUUCCAAGAAAAGAAAUGAAUGAAAUAAUGCUAUUACGGAUCCAUUGCCUUGCCAGCCAAUUUCACAGCCGUUCGUUGCACAGCAGUUGCAAUGACAAUGAACUUCCUGUUCGAAAUCCACCUUCAAUUUCUUCAUAGACUAGAGGGAGAUGGUGGUCUUGCCUUUUCACCCUCGAAGAGGGUAAUGAUGAAGUUAUGGUCAUUAACUGCUGGUGCUGAAGCCAAUGCUGAUGCUGGUGUUGAGAGUUUGUGGAAUACUUGGGCCUAAGUACUUCCAGUGAUGUGGGGGCAGGUGAUAUCAGGGACUGCGGACAUGGGAUCAGUGUAGGGUCCUGUCUCCCAUUUGGCCAAUUUGAAAAUUGGCUCAUCGCUGUGGAAUGUCCAGUAGGUCUGUAUUGAGCAGCUAGCUGAGCCGGCCAAAGCUGUUGCUGCUGCUGCUGGUGUUGUUUUGUCAAGAUUGUGGAACUUGUAUGAGCUGGGCCUAGGAACGGGCUGCUAAGAUAUGAAGGUAAUUGCAAUUUGACCUACAAAUAAAAAUUACAGCCUAACAUAAUUAGAGAUUUUUUAUGUCAUGGCAACUUGCAAAGCGAUAUAUGCAGCAAAAGACGCAGAUCAACCAUACUUCAGUAGUUGUCUAUUACCAAUGGCUAAGGAUGAAAAAUGCUUACAGAAACAAGCUAAUGAAAGAAGUUGGAGAAAAAAAUCUGGCUUGGAUUGAGGUAAUCCAUAACAUAACAGUAACAAAGCAAAAGGAAGGAAUCAAGAAAAAACCUGCUGUGUUGAUCCAGUUCCAGAUGUAGAAAUUUUAUCCGGGUAUGAAGAGGUGUAGUGAGUCUGGGGCAUUGCAAUUGGCAUGAAGUUCUGAUGUUGUGGAAGAGAAUGAAGAUGAGAAACUUGAAAUUCUGACGAUGGUUCUAAUGCAUUAUUUCUGGUUCUGCUAAAGCUGUUUGUAUCUUCUGCUCCCAAGCCGCCAGCUGACAAAGACAAAAAGUUGAAACUCUACAAGAAAAACAAAUUGAUCAGGACAUUGGGAAGGGGAAAACAAUCAUCUAUGCCAACAUAAAUUGUAGAGCUUACUUGCUUCUGCAAAGUCUGUAACCCAGAUUCUGUAGCAGUCUGUAGCUGAUCAUGAUGAAGCCUCUUGUGCUGAAGAAUACCACUUCUAGCUUCACUUGAAUUUCUUUCAGCAGUAGUACUACCAAUACUGUUAACAGAUAUGACUCCAUUUAAACCUUUUCUCGUCUUAUCAAAGUCAUAAAUCACCAUAUGUGUUUCUUGCCUUUGUCCUUCAUCUGGUGGUUUCAAUUGAUUACACUGUAGAUGUGACUUUUCUUUAUUCUCUGGCAUUUGUAAAUCUCGAAUCAGACGGCUGAUGUAAACAUGGCCAGCACACCUCUUUAGAGACCUAUUAGUGGUGGCCCCUUUAAAAACCUGUAUAGUUUAUAGUCCACCAGACACUCAGUGAGAUGCUCAAGAAAGUACACAAGCAUUGCGAAGUUUGGAGUAAAAUCUACCUUUCUGGUUGAAGGACCAUUUUCUAAAGAAUAAGGCUUGGAGGCACCAACAGCGGCAUCCAGCCAAGCUGGAAUUUUGGUAGACCUGCAAUGACUACAUGAAUGAGACAAUAGAUAGAAGGUAUAUAUGAAGGUCUAAACUCAUAAGAACUAAGACAAUUACUGCAAAGAAGGUCCAGAACUCCCAGCACCAAGCAACACCAUUGGAGACAAUCCCGGCCACAAUGCAAGGCCUUUAAACAAAGAAUAUGCCAGUGUCAGCCUAUAAUAUCCAAUAGUAUACAAAACAACCAUGUUUGACAAACUAGGCGGAAAAAAACAGGCCACAAUACACUAUCAAGAAGUAUACCAUUUCUCCAGGACUCCGUGGCCGUAUCUUGUUGCACUUGUUCACUUCUGAGGGUGGUGGACUUAAAAAAUAAAGCAAAGCCUCCAUUUUAGUAGCAGUUCAAUCGCUAAAGGAAAUAUUGUUCUAGGCUUGAAACUAAUGCUUACCCCAACUGCAAGCUCAGGUUUUCCUGUAAGUGAGGUCUCCUGAGUCGACUGCUCUAAACUACUUCAGGACAGACAACACAGAGAACUAAAUUAAUAACAGGACAACUGAAAAGAAACAGGAGCACCAGAAUUGAUUAAAAAAGAACCCACCCAGAAUCCCGACAUGGCUCAGGCAAAACCUGAAAAGUUACAGGAUUGCACAACGGCUCAUCACUGUUAUGUUCCCUCUUAGCCAAUAGAGGCAUUGUGCUGUGCACAUUUACCGGAGGAACACAACUAUCAGUUUUCACGUGGAAACUUUUACUGUCAGGUUUUUCUUCUACUUCAGCACUGGUUUUAGCAGUUUCUUUCUGUGAACUUUCUACAUUAGAUAAAGGGGCAGCCUCAGAAGUUCUCAAGGGGAAGGUUGAGCCCAACUCCUCCUUGGUAACUGCAGAAUCUAAUGAGAACAUACAACUUAAGAAAGAAACAAACUGGAAAAAAAAAUGUAAUCACUAGAAGAAGCAAUAGGUGGAAAAAAACUAAUAUUACCUUUAACUGCAGGUGUACAGCUCUCCCUAUGUUCUCGCAAAGCUGGAGGCUUUGCUUCUGAAGGAGAACUCUCCAAUUUACUAUUAUUCACACUAUCAUUUUCAGGGAACAUUCCUGCCAUAGCAUAUAAGGUCUCCACAACUUCUUCUUCAUCUUUAGUGAUUGGCCCAAUAACCUCCUUCUGGGACCAGUCCGAGCUUCCUUGUUUCUACAAAAGCAAUCCCGUCAAUAUAAAUUGAAAUGCUCAGCCAAAAGAAUAUGAAUUUUGAAAUGGUCAGCUGGAGAUAACUGACAACAAUGUUCAGCUUGGACUUCUUUAGGCCAUCCUUUUUGAGUGAUUCCAUUUCACCUACUGUAUGGUUCAGCUUCUUUGAAUCUGGUAAAGGUGGAGACAUAGAUUCGGGAUUUCGCUUCUUCACCGCUGUAAGAGUUAAAUCCAAAUUUCUCAUACAUUAUUAAUACUUCAAAAUAUUCUUUUUCUUUCCCUUCAAAUAAACAAACAUUUUUUGUUUUCCAUAGAAAGUUAAAAGUAUUUCCCUUCAAAAAGUAGCUUCAGAACAACAGGAGGCAAAAAUCUCAAAUACAAUAUUAUUAUUUCAAAAGAAUCAAUGCACCAUCAAAGUAGCAACACCAGUGUAUUAAGUAUAAUUAAAAAAUAAAAACAAACAAAAUUCUGCUUACACGGGAAAAAAAGGGGGGAAAGAAAAGAAAAGCAAAAAAGGCUUCAUUUUGCUUAAGUCGUAAUCCAAAAUCCAAAUCACUAAGCAAAACCGAAAAAAGGAAACUUCCCGGAAGACCCACUAAAUAGAACAUGAUAUUUAAACCGGUAACACUUUAACUAUUAGCCCCACAACUAACAGAAAAAGUAGGGGAAAAAAAAAAUAAUUGUAUUUAAAAAAAAAAAAUUUGAGAUAUAAAAUGAAAAAUUUAUCAUUCUUGAUUCACAAACAACAUACCUGAACGUAGCUUACGCGGAAUGGAGGAAUGAUCAACACCAUUGCAGUCAUCAAAAAGCUGGAAAAAAGAAAUCGAAAAUUAAAUAAACAGAAAAUUAAAAUUAAAAAAUUAAAAGAAAAGUAAAAUUAAACAUACCUUUUUAGGUAGUUUAAAUCUUUUGGCAGUAGCACUACUCAUUGAAGACUGAGAUUGUGAAGGAGUUUCAUUUUCUCUAUCAGACAAAUUAUUACUAUGAUAUCCCAUUUCAGAAUCUUCGAAACUCGAAAUCACAGCUUUAUUAACAACAACACUUAAUUUUUUAACAAGUCUCUCCUUCUUCGGUUUCUCCAAACCUUCAAAAAAAAAUAAAAAUAAUAACUAAAAACAAAGGAGAUAAAACAAAAAACAGGCAUUAUCUGAAAAACUCUUAUCGCCAAAAACACGCGAAGAGAGGAAGAACGUACACAAAAGAAGACGACAAAUGAGGGGUUUUGUUUGCUUGUUUGUUUUGGUUUUGGUUUUGGUUUUGGAAAUAGAAAAAAUAAAAGAGGAGAGUAUAGUAAAUUCAUACCUGCUAAGAGCUUCUGUCGCGAAAACCGACUGCUCCCUCCUCGCCUCACGUCUCGAGUCUUGUCCAUUUCUGUAUUCACACAAUUUUUAAGACAACACUAACAUCAACAGCAUCUGCUCUCACUCACGCCCUCCAAUUCGAUCUAUAAUCCAAUCAAAACGCAUUAAAAUAUAAGAAAAAUGAGAUUCAAAGAGCUUCGGUUUGUUUUUUUUUUUCUCAAACUUUAGAGGAGAGAAAGUGAAAGGAAAAACAAAAGUGGCGUUUGAGAUUUCUAAAGAGAGAGAGAAUCAAUUUUAGUUGCCAGAUAUUUCUCCGCUGCUUUCUCUGUGUGUGUGUGAGUUUUGAGUAGUUUUAGUUCUAGCUGCUCAGAAAAAUUAGCGAGAGAGAUGAGAUGAGAUGAGAUGAGACAAAAAGCUUCAUAUUAGAAAAAAAGUUGAAAAAAAUAAAAGGAAGGAAAGAAAAGAGAAAAGUAAUUCGUUCCUCGUGUUCAGAGAAUCAGGUUCUUCGUGAAAUAAAGCAAAUUAAAGAGAAAAAAUUAAAAGAAAUGAAAAAUGUGAAGCAAUUGCAGCAAAGUGACAAUUUAACAACCUUCAUUUAAUUCUCGAAGACAAUUAAGAGAGUUGAUUCAUUUCUCUCUCUCUCUCUAUCUUCUGUUAAAAGCUCUCACACACAACACAAACUCCCAAGAGACGGAAAGCCCGAAGCUUUCGCUCUGUUAAAUCGCCUUUUAAAUGCAUCAGAAAAACGGCCAUUCUUUUUCCUUUUCUCUCACUUCACACUCAUUUGUACACAAGUCCCAUUCCCACGUCAUUCCACCAUCCACGGUCCCUAUUCUCUCUCCUCUCACAGCCGUCGGAUCUUCUUUGAUGGCUUAGACCAUCAAGUCUCACGUGUCAGCCACGUCGGAUUUUAUAAACCUUGUUUACCUGUCCACGUUGCACUCUCCAUGCAUCAUCCGAAGGCUCGUUAUCAAACGGCUGUGGUGAAACUCUCGUCUUUCUCACUGUCUGGACGGAAGUCUUUUUAAUCACAGUAACUGAAACAAAACAAACGACUCUCUUUCAUCAACGGCCAUUAUGGCAAAUCUCAUGGAUGUUCGACACGUUUCAUCCACAGGUCUCCGUACUACCAGAGACUGUUCACUGUUACAAGAGAAAAUAUUCUGUACCUUUUAAUGACUUUUCACCAGUUUCUUAAAGAAACUAGUAUUAGAUUUGGUGCAUUUGCAUGUGCUGUAGUCAACACGCGCCAGUAACUCCCGAGUGCGGAGCAGAAGAGUGAUUUACGAUUUUCAUUUGUUUGAUGUUGCUGUUCACGCGCCGGAGGGAGAGUGAAAUUGUAGGCCAGUAAAAUAAUGGUAAUCUCACUGGUAACGCUGAAAUCCGCAAAGCGGAUUCUAGAGAAAGUUUGGCAGUCACGAGAAAGGAUGGGCAGAGGGUGUUGAACUCGGCGAUUAAUUGCUGAGUUUACGGCGAGUGUUUGAUGAGGAUGGAGGAAUGUGAUGAUUUGAUUCUGUGCACCUCGGCGUGGCAGGGUCAUGCAUGCUGCGUGACUCCUAGUUCCAAGUCCAAUCACGUUGCUUCAGUUCUAAUUACCAAAACACCCUUUGCUAUGUUCAGAAUUACGUGCUUGUAGCUCCUAGUCCUGUGUGAAGCUCGCCGGCUCCUAUCUAUCAUCUAAAAAGAAUCGGUGAACCACCUCUCUUCGAUUUAAAAUGAACGUUUUGAUUUUUACGUUGAACAGGUGAAGGUUUUGCUUUGAAAGAGAUAAUAACUGGAUCGAUGAAAGAAUUUAUUUAUAUAUGCAUGCAACUGCCAUUAAUUUAUUUUCGCGAAUUAUGUCUUAGGUGUACAGCAAAUAGAUGGACAAAGCCCAAAAUAUAUUUUUAAAAGAUUUAAACUUGAUGCCCAGCUUAAAAAAAAUUGCUUAAAAUGCAUCGGGCUGGCACACCGGCGUGGAAUGUAUAUGUGUGUACAUGUGUGUUAAUGAAAGGUCUUAAUAGUUCUUUUACGUGGAAGUAUGAAGGAAACUUUUAAGGGAAAAGUGGAAAUUGGGGCCCAUCAUUGAUUUAUAGCAACGUUUGGAGUUUUUUAACACCUUCGAAAAAUGCUUCUUCUUCUUUUUUUAACAAGAGAUUAAAUUAUGAAACGAUACUUAGGAUAGCCCCAAGUAUCGUCAAAUAACUUUUUUCUAAUAUCUAUUGGUGGUUCAUCCCACCAAGUAUACAUGGAACAAGAUAAAUCCAAGUUAGCCAAGCAAUCCGCUACAUAAUUUUCUUCUCGAAAAAAACGGGAGCAUCUAAAAAUCAUAUUUUUAAUCAAGCUACGACAAUUAAUCCAUCUAAUUUUCUUCUCGAAAAAAAUGAGAGCAUCUAAAAAUCAUAUUUUUAAUCAAGCUAUGACAAUUAAUCCAUCUAUUACGAAUGCACCAUGGAGGAGCAAAUCUAAGAUUUUGGAGACAAAAUAGUGCAGCAGCAAACAUAUUACCAUCCUCUAUUAGCUGCUUCUUCAAUAGCCAUAAUGAUACCAAAUAUUUCAGCAUAAAAUGAAGAAUGAAAGCCUAAAGGCAUUGCGAAGCAUCCUUUAAAGGCCCCAUUAAAUCCCCUGAAAACAACACCACAAGCUGCCUCUCCCGGAUUUCCUUUAGUAAGGCCAUCAGUAUUAAUUUUAACCCAAAGAAUUAGAGGAGGAUGCCAAAAGACUGAAACUACCUUUGGAGCACGUCGCAACAGCUUCUUUAUGCCCAAUAUAUCAUAACUUGGAACUUGGGUAGCUACGUGUCCUGGACAAUAAGAGCUCAGUAAAAUAAUGUGAGAAGAAAUGACAGCCUUUAAAUGAGACAAUGAAAACUCACGAUUUUCAAAGCGUAAUAAGUUCUAGGGAUGGCAAUGGGGAGGGGAGGGGAGGGAAGGGGACCAAUCUCCCCGUACCUAUCCCCGAUAUUUUGCGUAUGUCCCCGUCCCUGUCAGAAUUACUUGAGAGAAUCCUCAUCCCCUCCCCGAAUAAUAACAGGGGAUCUCCAAGGGUCUCCGAUCCCCGAAUAACUAAUACAUUUUUUUGUUUUUGAUUUUGAGUUAAUCAUAUUAAAAUAAAAAAUUCAAAUAAAAGUAAAGUUUGAAAUAUAUCUUACAUUAAUAUCCAUUACAAAAGUCACAUACAUUAAAUUAGUAAGUAAUGCAGCAUGUAAGGGAUACAAACUUCUUUUACAAACUAUCGUGAAUAAAUUAAUAGUUUAAUACAAAAUUGUUACAAAUAAAAUCGAAUUUAUAUUCAAAAUUAAUUUUUUCAAUGGUGGUCUAGCACUUUAUAAAUGUGGAUUAUUCCUUUUACAACACAAUAGUUAAGUCGGAGCAAAUCAAGAGUAAAUAUUAGAUUAAAUUAAAUUAGAUAUUAAAAUUGUGAUUCGUUGUGGGCAAUUAUAACAUCUAAAAAAAACGGCCAAGGCGGAUGUACGGUACAGCAGUAAUGAAUAUUAAAAUUAAAACAAAAUUUUUGGGCUAAUAGAAUUUACCCUUUUUUUUAAUGUCAUAAAUAAAAAUUUAGGACUUUAAUUAGUUAAUUAGGCCUAAAAGUUUAAUAAUAUAAAUAUUUUGAUAUUUGUUAUUUUUACCAAUAUUUAUAAUUUUAUUAUUUAUUCACUAGUGAUUUUAAAAAAUUAAAAUAAAAUUAAAAAUUAAAAUGGGGAAAUGGGUAGGGGAUGGGGAUUCCACCUCAUCCCUGUCCCCUGCCCGAAUAAGAAAUUGGGUAAAAAAAAUUUCCCGUCCCUUCUCCGAAUAAGAAAUUGGGUAUGAAAUUAUCCUCAUACCCUCCCCGAAUGGGGAAAAUCCCAGUAUCCGUCCCCGUGGGGAUUUUUGCCAUCCCUAAUAAGUUUCGAGCUUUCCACAAAUAAUAAAAUAGGAUGAAACAAGCUAUGUGCCAGAGGGAGACUGUAUGAUGAGAAAAUCUAUCAUCAAGAAUUAACUUUCGUAAACUCACAAGGUCUCCAUCCAUGGGAAAUGUGACUCUAAAUAAAGAAGUGAGUCAACCCCAAAGCUAUUGAGAGAACCUGCAUAGGAAAAAUAAGUGGGCAGUCGUUCCAUCAGAUUGCAAGCAAAAAGGGCAAGAUGAGACGACGCAUAACCCACGUAAACGCAGCUGAUCAUCGGUUGGAACUCUAUUAUGAAACAGCCUCUGAGCAAACAUAGAGUAUUUUGGAAGAAUAAAAGAUGACCACAAGCAUUUGUUCUAGGGGUAGACUACACGGUUGCCAAGUAAAAAAUGAUAAGUUUCUGCCAAAGUAAGAUCACCAUUUGCUAAGUGGCACCACACCAUCUUAUCUUCGGUGUCAACUACGAGCAGCUCUGUAUUUUUUAUAUCUGAAAAAUCCUUAUUAACACCUCUUUUGGAUUUUAUCCCUAAGAUACCCUAGCUUAAUUUACAAAGCGCUAACUCACAAAUUACAAUCAAUCAUCUUCUUAUUAAAUUUCAUCCUAAAAAUAUAUUUCUUUUAAGCUUUUAUUUAUAAAUACAUAUAAAUCUUAAAUUGUUUUCUUAUUGUAACAUAAUUUCUAUCAUCAUAAUUCUUAAUUCUUAAAAGUUUCUCAAAAGAAUAUUUUUAAUUCAAAUUUCAAAUAUAAAUGUAAAAAUAAAUUAUGAAAUUGGGUGGGUGAAAAAAAUAUUAAGUGAAUAGUUUAUUUAAGAGUUCAAUUAAAUUUUUAUUCAAGAAAAAAAUUGAAUUAAUUUAUCUUUGGUUAUUUGUGUAAUGUCAAUUAAAGAAGAGUUUGACAAGGAAUUUAUAAGAGUGCAAAAGGUCUUCUCUUAUAGCAGACCCAUGGAUCAUGGCUAUACAUUUGAAAAGAGUAAUGAUAUUUUACCCCUUCAAUUUCUCUCAUUAAUUCUUUUUUUUUUUUUAACCUAAAGUGAAUAAAAUUUACCCCUUCAAUUUCUCUCAUUAAUUCUUUUUUUUUUUUUAACCUAAAGUGAAUAAAAUAUCCAUGACAUAGAUUUUUUAGAUUAAAGAUUGAAGAUUAGCAUAUUUUCUAGCAUUUUCCCCUUGUUGACGACAAGGGGAUAUUUAACUUCGUUUUAUCCGUAUUUGUAAAUUCAGCCCGAUCAUCCACGUGCAUUGUCGCUUGAUUUGCUUGUUUUUAUGUCGCUAAAAUCUUUCUUUGGGCAAACUAAAUGUGAAAGACACAUCGUUUAUGUGAUUGACAAAAGUAAAUAACAUUUCUUUGGUAAACAAGUCAUUAACAACAUAGAUUAGCAGAAAACCACAUGUUUUAUUCUCAUCCUUGCAUCAUAAGUUUGUGUACUAAACAAUUUAGAGAGUAUAAUAUUUUAAGGGCACUUGUGGCGACCGCCGUGGGUAGUCAUGUUGGCGUAGCAGGGGCAUGCAUCAUAGUUACCAGAAGUGCCGGGAGGAACACAGUCACAACGAGCACAACACGUCCCACAUGCCCUCUUGCACAGCCUUGGCCUUGACGAUAACUGGCAUCUUGCAGCACAUGCUCCGUCACAAUCUGAAUCAUGCGCGAACCAAUAACCCUCUGAUCAAUUACCAAUCAAGACUCCACAAAACAUAUCAUUCAUUUCAAUCAAAAACUUGAAUUACAAAAUGAGAUAAGCAAAUGCGGGGCAUAGUUAUAUGCAUACAUACCAAUCUUUUGUACCAUAGGACUCUCUGCCACGCUCUUGAUCACCUGAAAAAUCCAACACUCAGGUUUGUUCGGUGUUAGAGAAUAAUGACGAAAUCUGAUCAUUUCGUAACAAAAACGGAAAAGGAAAGCUAAAAGAAAAGAAGGAUCGCAUAAAACACGUCACCAUUAGGUCAUCGGAUUGAGCAAGCUGGAAGACAUGUAUAACGAGGGAAAUGAUGAGAAGCGAACCCGUCAGACUCUUGGAGAGAGCCAUCGAUUAAUUAAAAUACUUGUUAUUAUAGCUCCUGCAAUUUGAGGCCUUAACCAAUAUUCUUGCACGUGCUAUAUAUAUAUAGCAGGUGAGAUUCGUAGAAAGGGAACCGGAAAAUAAUGAUAAAUAGAGAGUAGGUGCAUUAUUGCACAAGUUAAAAUCAGAAAGAAUUGAAGGUGGUUGCAAGGAUGGGGUAUUUGGUGAAACUAUUUAAUCACAAAUGAAUUAAUAUUUAGCAGCGCACAAAUUAUGAUGAAAUCGUGCCUUCAAAUUAAUCAUUCUAUAAUACGAGAGAAUUAAUGAGUAGUUUUCCUUUUUCUUUAACCUUGGUGGAGGAUUCUUCCUUCCUGAUAGCUGAAGUAGCUUAUCGUUUUUGCCAAUUUUGGUUUGCACAUUUGGGUGUUUUACUUGUGAAGAGUCAUGCCGUGUUGGAAUCCUCAAUUCAAUUUACUUAGUUGAGGAACGUUGCAAUUUUUGAAAAUGAAGUACAUAUUAUCUGUGAUAGCUGCCACAUUAAUUAAUUUAUUAUGGUUCAUCCACGUCCUGAAAUUUACAAUUCUUCUAACAUUAACGCUUGUUUGUACUCUUGUAUGUGUUGGAUUUUAUUUAGCUAAUUUCAACAUUUUUCUCCAUAGGCUGCUCACGUGAACACACGCAACCACCCACCGGAUUAGGUUUGGUCAUUUUCACGGCUGCUUAAAGAAGCUGAUUCACAAAUUAAAGCAAAUCAAAUUUGAAACAUAUUUACCCCAAAGCAAAGCAACGCAUACGUGUCAAUAAAUUUCACAUAAGAAGGACCCGGGUCUCUACCUCCUAAGCCCAAGAAGGAGAGAGUAGUGGGCUGUUUAGCUGGAGCCGGACCUUUCCAAUUGUGAAACAGACCCACUACUAAAAGUAUCUCUCUCGCUUUAGCGUUUGGACAAAUUCGUUACUAUCGCAGAAGAUAAUUUUUGGAUCGAAUUAAUUUAACUAUGAGUCUUUAAGUACGAGGAUACUGAUAUAUUCUCUUUUCAACAUUUAAUUUGUUAACUUAAUCAAGUAGAGCGGUAAUUACAAAGACUACAUAUGUAUAUAGCAGGCAGGCAUAUUAGCCUUUAUUAUUUUCAGGACGGCUUUGUUAUUAUGGUCUUUCAGUUGUGCUAAACAGAUUGUAAUUGUCCACCGUCCCCGAGAUUCCUCAUAAUAUGCCUUCUUUUCUUUUCAAAGAAAGCAUUGUUCUGUAAAGAGAGAACUGUGAACAAAUUAACGAACAAACAUUAAUUUAAUUAAUUUACUCACAGAAAUGAGCAAUUAACAUCGCUUUAUUUAAUUUGACGAUAUAUAAAUAGAUGUAUCACUAGCCAGUUGCCACAAGCAGCGACGGACAGGUGCAUGUAUCAUGUAUCAUGCACAAUCAUUGUUUUAAGGGCACUUGCGUCUGCCAUGGUGGGUGGUCAUGGUGGCGUAGCAAGGGCAGACUUCAAGAUGGCCUGAAGUGCCCGGAGGAACACACUUGCAACGGGCACAGCAGGUUCCACAUGCCCUGUGACACAAGUUUGGCCUCGACGAUAACUGGCACCUGGCCUUGCAUGCAGCUCCACAGUCUGCAAAAAUUAAUUAAAAAAAAAUUUAAGAUGAUACGUAAUCCAGCCAAGCAGCAGUAUGUGUAUGUGCCGCGCGAUUGAUGAUAAAUUUAAUUACCAAUUGUUGGAGUGGGAUAACUGCUAGCUCCUUCGUUUGUGUUAACCUGAGCGAUUCAUGUUAUUUAGUUAAUGUGUAAAUAAUAACUCCCUCCAAAAUCAAUUGAUUGAGCGUCUAACAAUUAAUAAUUUGUUAUAUAGAAACUGAAACUUUACCAUCUGAUCAGCUGCAACAAGAUGGAGAACAAGAAUAAGUGAGAGGAGAACUGAAGCAAUGAAAGCCUUGGACGAUGAGAUGGCCAUGGCUAGCUUAAAUGCUAGAAACUAUUGAAAGUAGGGCUUUGAUCGGAGUAACUGAUACCUGGCUAUUUGAAAACCUAAAUUCUUCUUUUUACUUUUGGUGCAAAAAUGAGAGCAAAGAUGUGGGUAUUUAUAGCGUAAAUAUCAGAUGGAAAGACAGGAGAGCUUGCAAUAAAUUAUAAGAGAUAAGAAGGCCAGGACUGGGAAGGUGCAUGCGUGUUAAUUAAGGAGAUUCUCAUGGUUUAAUUUUGUACGCUUACUAAGCUUUUUCCAAAAAAGGAAAAAAGUCAUGGGCCUAUGGACAUAUAUGAUAUAAUCACUCGUCAUGAUUAUCUGGCGAAGAAAUGCCAUUUGGAAUCGUUCGGAGAUAAGCCAGCAUGUUUUAUUGCAUGGCAACUUUGCUUUUUCAUUUAUCUCUUGGCUUAAUUUUAAUUGAAGUGUACAGUACAAGAGAUAGGGAAAACAUUUUCCAUGAAACCUUAACACAGUCUCAUCGUUAACAUGGAUAACUCGGGCUUUAGUUGGACUACUUUGACUGUUUGACUCGAUUUCUUAAUUAGCUGUUUAAUUAAUUUACGAUAAAUUAUAUGUUGUCAGAGUCAGCCAAUAUCCUCCCACAUUUUCAUCAAUCUUCAUAGUAUUUAUCACAUUAAAUCAUCCAAGGAGAACUUGAAUACUUAAUUAGUAGUAAUCACCCAGCCGAUAAGUUUAAAAUGAAAAGAGAAUGGCAAUAAUUGAAGAGUUCGUAUUUAAUGUACUUUAAUUAUAGUCGCUGUGCCCAACUUCACAUCGCCUUUUCUGCAUUAUUUAGUACAUAUAUUAAAAUCCAUUUUCUUUUUUAUUUCUCGCACAACAAUAUAUUCCUUCUGCUACUUACCUAACCCAUCCAACUGGAGUCCAUACGACCAAACAAAUUAUUUAUGAAUUUAAUCAAAUCCAAACACGGGAAAUAAUUAAAGCUGGCUCCGCUACUUAUUACUCACAAAUUAAAAUUGGAAUAAUGCCUACCUAGUUCAUUAUCAUUUAUUAGUGCAGGCCUUUCUAGGGUUUUAGGUUUGUUGAGGGAUUCCGCGGUUUGCCAGCCAAGACUCAUAAUUAUUUGUAUAUCCUUAUGAUAAAGAAUAAUGAUAUGCUUAACAAAAUUUGUAUCUCAAAUAAUGUGUAUCACGUGGUAAUAGAUAAUUUCUUAUAUUAUAAGUUUGAUACUCAUUAAUUGAGGGAUGUUCACUCUAUUUCUCCACUCAAUUAUUUCAUAAUUGAAGAAGGACUUCAACUAACCCUCAUAAUACUUUUAUGAAAACUCAAAACUUUACUCUUACACAUUGUGAGUGCAAAAACUCUUACACUAGACCAAAGACCAAUUGAUAUAGUUAUUGAUGAACUUAAAACAUUAAAAUUACACAAUUGUUAUAACGUUUAAAAUGUACAAUUAAUCUUAUUAAUUAUAUAGUUUAUAUUUGUAAGAAUUAUUAUAGAUCAGUAAUUUCCUUUCUUAUAGUACAAGCUAAUAUUAGCGUUAUUACUAAUUAGUGACACACCAGGAAAACAAAAGCAGAUUGAUAGGAUAAAUGAACACCACAUAUCGUUCUAGGAAAGCUUAAGUGAACUUAAUUAGGUUACAUUCUAAUCAAAACAUUAUUAGAUUUCAUUCUAAUAUAAACAACUCAAUGAGAUUUUGAUAAUGCUUUGCAGCAAGAUUAGACGAUGUUAUAAUCCAAAUGACUCGAUAUAAGAGAUUUUGAUAGAUAAUUCCAAAAGAAAUUAUAAAAGAGGAGCUUUUAUUAAUAAAAAAUUAUUCUAAAACAAUGACAAUACCUUUUUAUUUAUAAUAAAGUAAACAUACUUUUCUAAGUUAACUUAAAUAAGAAAACUAUAUCACAAUAAUAUUGAAAAUAAAAAACCUAAAACAAAUAUCAUAAUUGCCUCAAAUUAAAAGGAAAAAUAAAAAAGGACCUAAAAUAAUAAACUCUAGAAUCUUCUAGACACGUUCUAUAUCAUUCUCCCCCUUUUAAAACAAACCCGUCCUCAAGUUCCUCCGGAUGAUAAACUUGAAGUGAAGCAUCAAUGCAUCCUAGAUCUUGAACUUGUAGCUUGUUUCAUCAAUUUUCCUUGAAGCUUGAAAAUCUUCAUGCUUUAUUUUCUUCUUUAUCUCGUUAGUCACUCUAAAAAUAGGUGAAAUUUUAUGAGAACGAAUCAUUUCUAUACCUCUCAAGUCUUUUGCUUAACUCACUCAAUGUACUCAAUUAUUAUCUUUUAUCUAGAAGGGCAAAUUCUCUUCUAAGAGUAAACUUCUUGUCUUCAAUGUGAGAGGCAUAAUCAUUUCAAUUAUUGUUGGGGUCUCUUCAACUUGACUUUACUGCACAAAUUCGAUGAUAUUAUUAAACUCAAUGUUUAAAUUAAUAAUAGAUUAUACCUCUUCUUUAAAAAUCUUAAAUCGAUCAAUAAUCUUAUCGCGAUCGUUAUCUUUUACUUUUAUUAAUUUUAAAAGAGAUGGUUCGACAUCAUUAUAGUAAAAAAAAAAAAACCUAUCUUCCAUCAAUUGCCUUAUAUCAAACUAUUCAUUUAUUUAUUUUAUCUUUGUUUAAUCCUUAAUUCUUGUAGUUGCUUCUACUAAUCUAAAGUAUCACCUAUCAAUUUAAAUGAUACAUGGGAGAUAGUAACUUUCGACGAGACAUUUUCAAGAAAAUCUUCCAUCAUCCAAAUUCAGUAAAACAUAUCACCAUGUUAUGAUCAAAAUCUGGGACAUCUUUUGAUUCAAGGAGACAAUGCAACACUUAAUAUUCUGUCUUUAUCAUUCUUUUUCAAAUUAAAAAUAAAAUCAAUAACAAAACUAUAAAUAUCCUUAACUCUUAGCUAUAGGUAUUGCCAGCGCGUCUGGUGGCCAUGAUUUAGAGUCAUGAGGGUUAGAUCUAGUAGAUAUGAUGGCAAGGAAUGCAACAAUGGCUACAGAUUGAUCAGAAUCGCAGUGGUUUGGUCAGAAAAGGAACUUGUGUUGGUGACGACUUAUGUUAGUUUGGCAGCGGUUCUCGAUUGAAUUUGGACGAUGGCACUUAGGAUCUGUUUAGUGGCUUGAGGGGAGGUGGACAAUGGUGACGACUGACAGAAACCUGUGGAGGUUUUACGGCAAUGAACCGGUGGAUCGCUUGCAGGUUUGGGUGAUUUGCUGCGGUUCUAGUGGCAGCUACUGACUCAAUUGUGUGAAGUGAGGUGAUGGUAGCGGUGACAAUGGUGGUAGGUGUGGGAUUUGUUGUGUUUUUUAAUUUUUAAUUUUUUUAUAUAAAUGGCGAUGGAGGAUCGUGGUGGAUGGAUAUGAUAGUCCAAAAAGUCGUGAUGCCACAGUUUUGCUUGAUACAAAAAAUGAUGUAGUGGGGUAGUUAAGAAAUGAAUUGAAAAGAUAAAUGAAAAUUAGAUAGGCUGGCUAAAGCAAAUACGAUUCGGUUACACUUUAAUUAAAGUCUGAUUAAAUUUUAUUAUAGCCUAAAUAAUUUAAGAAGAUUUAGGUAAGGUUUUAUAGUAAAAUUAGAUAAUGUUCUAAUUUAAAUGAUUUUGUGAGAGAAAUUUUGAUAAAUAAUCUUAAAAAGAAUUAUAAUGAUUUUUUUAUUAAUUAAAAGAUUAUCUUAAAAUAAUAACAAUACCUCCUUAUUGAUAGUUGGGUAAACUUACUUCUCCAAAUUAACUCAAAUAAGAAAAUUAAAACACAAUAAUAUUGAAAAUAAAAAACUUAAACUAAUUCCAUAAUUGACUUAAAUUAAAAAAGAAAAUAACAAAAAGACCAAAAAAAAAACUCCAGAAUCUCAAUUAAUAUGAAACAAAGUUAUGAAAGAGUCGUGUCUAUGUAAAAUACAUGCAGAAUCUGAAUUCUUUUGCACCAUUUUACUUUGCGUAGAUCAUUUUAUAUAGCACUCAAUUAUCAUAAAAGACUUUGGUAUUUACUUCUGAUAAUCACGAUCGUCAAAACAAAGCAACAAUAGCUUUUAGAUCAUCUCUUAUACUCAAUCAGUGUAGUUUUCACCGCACGAGACGAUGACUCUUUGAUUUUAGAACCACAACAUUUGCUUGAUUCUCCAAAUAGCAUAGAUUUAUCUUUACUUGUCCGUUGCUUUAAAUCUUUAUCUUUACAUUGUAUGUACAAUGUACGUGCAAUAAAAUAUGUUCUGUAUAAUUAAUUAUAACCAUUUUGUGUAAGUUCAUAAUAUCUUUCAACUCCGAAUACCUUAGAUUUUUCUUGAAAAAGAAAAAAGAAAAAAAGAAAGAAAAAUAAUGUUUUAUUACAAAUUAAGUUUAAAUACUGACACUGGGUUAGUGUACUUAUGCCGAGGAGAGGGCAUCCGUUCAAGUUUCAGUAGUGUAUGUUACAGUAAUAGAACAUAAUGAUAAUAUGAUAAAAGAUAUUUAAAUUGUGUUCUAAUAAAAAUAAUUUAUAGGUUAGUUUUAAACAUUUAGUAGAUUUUUAAUCGUAUUAUUGGUAUUUAAAAAAGAAAGUCAAUUAAAUAUCUUCCAAUUAUUAAGUACGAUUUUAUUUUAUUUUGUUUUAUUGGAGGAAUAAUGAGAGUACGAUCGAAGACAGGCAGCGGAAAUUGCCAACUUAUUUAGGUCACAGAGAUACUAAGCCACACGUGCCCUGAGGGGAAGUGAUUAGUUUUGAAGCUCAAAAGCUUUUGGAGACAGAGUGGGACUUGACGGAAAUGAUAAAACUCAUUACGAAGUAGACUUAGACCCACACAGGCCUCACAGCUGUGCAAAAGUGAACCACAGCUGUACUCUGCUCAUGCAGUUAAAUCAAUGCAAGAUGUUUAGGAUAAGCACAAGAGGUGGAACAGACAUCUAAAUAAUUAAUCUCAAUCAACUUUUAAUAUAGUUAAGACCUUAAUUAAUAUAUAUUGAAGUGGUAUAAUUUUUGAAUUACAAUUGUUAUAGAAAAAAUUAUAAUUAUAAAAUAAAAAUUAAUAUUAUAUAGUAAAUAAAAUUUUUAAAUAAUAAUUUUGAUAAAAUUAAUAAAAAUAUAAUAAAUUUUUCAUCAUAUAAAUAUAAAAUUAAAUUAAUUUAGUUUUUAAAUUAUAACCGUUAGUGUUUACAAAGCGUUUUAAUAUUGUCCAAUUUCAAUCCCAAACGAGAUCUAAGAUUAUAAAUAUUUGUUAAACACUAUAAUAUUGUGUGUUAUAAAAUUGGAAUAAGAAUGGACUGAAAUUGUAAUGGAGAAUGAGAAUCAGAAUAAGUUAUUUACUUAAACUGUAGGAAUUGGAAUCCGAAUAAGUUGAAUUACCAUUAAUGUGUUUAUUUUAUCUUAGAAUUGAAAUCAAAAUAAAUUAAAUUGUUACAAAUUAUUAAAAAGUCCUCAAUAAUAAUGACAAUAAUAUUCUAAAAUUAAUAUUUAGGUAAUUUAAGAAUAAUAAUAAAAUUCACAAGUCCCUUAGAAAUCAAACUAUCAUUUUCCAUUCUCAAAUUUGAGUAGGAUCCACAAUUUUAAUUUUAAUUAUUUCUUUUAUUUUAUAAAAUAAACGUUAUCAAUAAUUCUGAUUUAUUAAUUUGUGAAAUAAAAAUUGCCUAAAAUUAUAUGGCUCAACUAGACACCGAUUCGAAAAUGUAGACCUUAAACCUUUGAAGCAGUUUUUAAGUAGAUGUGAAAAUCAAAUGAAAUUUUUGCUUCAGUUUGGUUUCAUCGUUUACCAUCUUAUCUCCACAAAAAGUCUACUUAUAGUUAUGCAACAACGUAAUGUUUCCGAGCCAUCUUUUUUAAUAUUUACCAAGGCGGCCAAUUAAAAAUUGACGUGGGAAUUAGAAGUGUUACCAGUCCCAAAAAAUCCUCAUCAAACCCAUUUAUUUAAAAAUUAAAAUACCCUACUAGUAAUUCACAAAAUAAUAUAUUAUUUCUUAACUCACAUAUUUUGAUUAAAAAAAAAAAAAAAAAACUCCGUCUACGCCCAUACUUAAGUCUUAACUCAUCCCUCUUCCCACUUUCUCUCUUUUCUUUUUCUCAGUUUCAUUUUUUUUGUUCAUACGAAUAAUUUGUUCACCACAAAUAAUCAACCUCUCACAUUCUCGAUUUAACAUCCCAUAUGUUUUUCUCGUUCACUUGCUCUUGAAAAGACAAGAAAAAAACAAAUUAGCAUUGUAAAUAUCUACGAAUUGCACUAAUCCUGUAUUUUCAUACGGAGAUUAAUUAAUGAUAAUAUUAUAUUUGUUAGAGAACUAGUUUUCUUCUUUUCUUCGUCUUCUUUAUGUUUCCUCCCUUUUCCUGGCGCCAACACCCACAGAAAAGUUUGUGACAGCAUAUGAACAUUCAAACAUGACCAAAAAUAGAAUAAAAUCCAAUAUUAAACCUAUGAAGAAAAAUGGAAGGAAAAAACUGUAAUUAUCAAAUUUUAAGCAUGAUAAUAUGAUGCGUUGAGAUUUCAUCUUACUUAAGAAGAGAUGAAGAAGAAACUUUAAUAAGAAUUGAGAAACCUUACUAAGUAUUCCACUUAAUUUAUCCUGAUGAAGGAAAAAUGUGAAGAGACAAAAAGUUAGGAAUGGAUAAUGAAUUAUUCAUUUGAUUUUAUUUGUUUUUGUUUCAAAAUUAUACGAAUGAUCGAUGCUGUACUGAUACAAGCGCGAACUGAUGGCCAUCCUCAAAGAGAAAGAUAAUCGGCCAAACUUGAAGAUUUUUAAUAAAGUGAUUUCUCUGAAUCUUCUGUUUUCAUUGUCGUUUUAUGCAAAUUUUGAAGAGGGACAAAUUAACUGAAACUAAAUCAAAGGGAUUUACGAGCGGUGACGAUAGCAGUACAGCAAACCACUCGGCAACUAAUUAAUCCUUUAUUGUUGUUAGAAGAUAACAAACACGACACAAAGUAGAAAAUUUAAAAGGAGAAGAAGCCUCUUAUUAUUAUUCUCUGGAAACUUAUGUAUCCACAAUAAGUAACAUGAAAUGGAUUUAUUUAUUUAUUCAUGGGAAUAUGGAUCAACUCUGUUUUUCUGGCCACAGGCAACACACGCACACGCACACGCACAUAUUUAUACAUAGAGAGAGAGAGAAUAGAAGCUCCAAAAAAAUUAAUUAAGAAGUAGACGACGUCGUUUCAACUUAAAAUAUUUCAAGGGCACUUGCGUCUGCCGUGGUGGGUGGUCAUAUUGGCGUAGCAAGGGCAGACCUCAGUGUUGCCUGCAGUGCCUGGAGGAACACAAUUGCAGCGGGCGCAGCAG